Molecule: ribosomal RNA, 376 nt
Filed under: uncultured bacterium
Lineage: Bacteria
Description: bacterial SSU rRNA
Rfam family: Bacterial small subunit ribosomal RNA
Source: RNAcentral
AUUGAACGCUGGCGGCAUGCCUUACACAUGCAAGUCGAACGGCAGCACGGGAGCAAUCCUGGUGGCGAGUGGCGAACGGGUGAGUAAUAUAUCGGAACGUGCCCAGUCGUGGGGAUAACGCAGCGAAAGCUGUGCUAAUACCGCAUACGAUCUAUGGAUGAAAGCGGGGGAUCGCAAGACCUCGCGCGAUUGGAGCGGCCGAUAUCAGAUUAGCUAGUUGGUGGGGUAAAGGCCCACCAAGGCGACGAUCUGUAGCUGGUCUGAGAGGACGACCAGCCACACUGGAACUGAGACACGGUCCAGACUCCUACGGGAGGCAGCAGUGGGGAAUUUUGGACAAUGGCGCAAGCCUGAUCCAGCAAUGCCGCGUGCAGGA